UACACACCGCCCGUCACGCUAUGGAAGCCGGUAACACCUGAAGUCGCUGGGCUAACCCGCAAGGGAGGGCAGGCGCCGAGGGUGGGACUGGUAACUGGAGCG
Molecule: ribosomal RNA, 102 nt
Filed under: uncultured bacterium
Lineage: Bacteria
Description: partial 16S ribosomal RNA
Rfam family: Bacterial small subunit ribosomal RNA
Source: RNAcentral